RNAcentral lists this ribosomal RNA (477 nucleotides) under uncultured organism. RNAcentral's name for it is "partial 16S ribosomal RNA". It matches the Rfam family "Bacterial small subunit ribosomal RNA", at positions 332 to 800 of the family's 1533-position model. The record is from RNAcentral.
UACACUCCUACGGGAGGCAGCAGUGGGGAAUAUUGCACAAUGGGCGCAAGCCUGAUGCAGCCAUGCCGCGUGUAUGAAGAAGGCCUUCGGGUUGUAAAGUACUUUCAGCGGGGAGGAAGGCGAUAAGGUUAAUAACCUUGUUGAUUGACGUUACCCGCAGAAGAAGCACCGGCUAACUCCGUGCCAGCAGCCGCGGUAAUACGGAGGGUGCAAGCGUUAAUCGGAAUUACUGGGCGUAAAGCGCACGCAGGCGGUCUGUCAAGUCGGAUGUGAAAUCCCCGGGCUCAACCUGGGAACUGCAUUCGAAACUGGCAGGCUAGAGUCUUGUAGAGGGGGGUAGAAUUCCAGGUGUAGCGGUGAAAUGCGUAGAGAUCUGGAGGAAUACCGGUGGCGAAGGCGGCCCCCUGGACAAAGACUGACGCUCAGGUGCGAAAGCGUGGGGAGCAAACAGGAUUAGAAACCCUUGUAGUCCCAUGA